This 1540-nucleotide ribosomal RNA is filed under the name Staphylococcus aureus. RNAcentral's name for it is "16S ribosomal RNA". It matches the Rfam family "Bacterial small subunit ribosomal RNA". RNAcentral also lists the same sequence under 492 other names. The record is from RNAcentral. Lineage: Bacteria; Bacillati; Bacillota; Bacilli; Caryophanales; Staphylococcaceae.
AGAGUUUGAUCCUGGCUCAGGAUGAACGCUGGCGGCGUGCCUAAUACAUGCAAGUCGAGCGAACGGACGAGAAGCUUGCUUCUCUGAUGUUAGCGGCGGACGGGUGAGUAACACGUGGAUAACCUACCUAUAAGACUGGGAUAACUUCGGGAAACCGUAGCUAAUACCGGAUAAUAUUUUGAACCGCAUGGUUCAAAAGUGAAAGACGGUCUUGCUGUCACUUAUAGAUGGAUCCGCGCUGCAUUAGCUAGUUGGUAAGGUAACGGCUUACCAAGGCAACGAUGCAUAGCCGACCUGAGAGGGUGAUCGGCCACACUGGAACUGAGACACGGUCCAGACUCCUACGGGAGGCAGCAGUAGGGAAUCUUCCGCAAUGGGCGAAAGCCUGACGGAGCAACGCCGCGUGAGUGAUGAAGGUCUUCGGAUCGUAAAACUCUGUUAUUAGGGAAGAACAUAUGUGUAAGUAACUGUGCACAUCUUGACGGUACCUAAUCAGAAAGCCACGGCUAACUACGUGCCAGCAGCCGCGGUAAUACGUAGGUGGCAAGCGUUAUCCGGAAUUAUUGGGCGUAAAGCGCGCGUAGGCGGUUUUUUAAGUCUGAUGUGAAAGCCCACGGCUCAACCGUGGAGGGUCAUUGGAAACUGGAAAACUUGAGUGCAGAAGAGGAAAGUGGAAUUCCAUGUGUAGCGGUGAAAUGCGCAGAGAUAUGGAGGAACACCAGUGGCGAAGGCGACUUUCUGGUCUGUAACUGACGCUGAUGUGCGAAAGCGUGGGGAUCAAACAGGAUUAGAUACCCUGGUAGUCCACGCCGUAAACGAUGAGUGCUAAGUGUUAGGGGGUUUCCGCCCCUUAGUGCUGCAGCUAACGCAUUAAGCACUCCGCCUGGGGAGUACGACCGCAAGGUUGAAACUCAAAGGAAUUGACGGGGACCCGCACAAGCGGUGGAGCAUGUGGUUUAAUUCGAAGCAACGCGAAGAACCUUACCAAAUCUUGACAUCCUUUGACAACUCUAGAGAUAGAGCCUUCCCCUUCGGGGGACAAAGUGACAGGUGGUGCAUGGUUGUCGUCAGCUCGUGUCGUGAGAUGUUGGGUUAAGUCCCGCAACGAGCGCAACCCUUAAGCUUAGUUGCCAUCAUUAAGUUGGGCACUCUAAGUUGACUGCCGGUGACAAACCGGAGGAAGGUGGGGAUGACGUCAAAUCAUCAUGCCCCUUAUGAUUUGGGCUACACACGUGCUACAAUGGACAAUACAAAGGGCAGCGAAACCGCGAGGUCAAGCAAAUCCCAUAAAGUUGUUCUCAGUUCGGAUUGUAGUCUGCAACUCGACUACAUGAAGCUGGAAUCGCUAGUAAUCGUAGAUCAGCAUGCUACGGUGAAUACGUUCCCGGGUCUUGUACACACCGCCCGUCACACCACGAGAGUUUGUAACACCCGAAGCCGGUGGAGUAACCUUUUAGGAGCUAGCCGUCGAAGGUGGGACAAAUGAUUGGGGUGAAGUCGUAACAAGGUAGCCGUAUCGGAAGGUGCGGCUGGAUCACCU